RNAcentral lists this ribosomal RNA (403 nucleotides) under uncultured bacterium. RNAcentral describes it as "bacterial SSU rRNA". It matches the Rfam family "Bacterial small subunit ribosomal RNA", at positions 356 to 773 of the family's 1533-position model. The record is from RNAcentral.
GGGGAAUAUUGGGCAAUGGGCGAAAGCCUGACCCAGCAACGCCGCGUGAAGGAAGAAGGCUUUCGGGUUGUAAACUUCUUUUAUCAGGGACGAAGGAUGUGACGGUACCUGAUGAAUAAGCCACGGCUAACUACGUGCCAGCAGCCGCGGUAAUACGUAGGUGGCAAGCGUUGUCCGGAUUUACUGGGUGUAAAGGGCGCGUAGGCGGAGAGACAAGUCAGAUGUGAAAUCUAUGUGCUUAACCCAUAAACUGCAUUUGAAACUAUCUCCCUUGAGUGAUGGAGAGGCAAGCGGAAUUCCUAGUGUAGCGGUGAAAUGCGUAGAUAUUAGGAGGAACACCAGUGGCGAAGGCGGCUUGCUGGACAUUAACUGACGCUGAGGCGCGAAAGCGCGGGGAGCAAAC